CGGCAUUUCUACCAAGCUUCUCCCAUAGCAAUGGAAUUCAACAAAUGGUGCAGGGAUCCUUUGACAUUCAUUCUCCCAGCCACCCACCCCAGCCACCCAAAACCUAAAACUAUAAAACUUCUAGAAGAUAACACAGGACAAAAACCUUUGUGAUCUUAGGCUAGGCAAAGAUUUCUUAGGGCACAAAGAGUACAAAACAUAAAAAGGAAAAAAAAAAAGAUAAACUAUAUUUCCUUAAAACUGAAACAUUUACUUCUUGAAAGAUAAUGUUAAUAAAAUGAAAAAGCAAACCACAGGCUGAGAGGAAAUAUUUGGAAAACAAAUAGAUGAUAAAAAACUGAUGACCAGGAUAGGUAAAGAACUUUCACAGCUGAAUAAUAAAAAGACAAACAAGCCGUAUAACCCCACCAUUCUACUCCUGGACAUUUACCCAAGAAAAAUGAAAACACGAGUCUACACAGAAACCUGUACAUGAAGGACACAUUAUUACGCUUAGAUAGGAGGAACACAUUUCAAGAGAUCUGUUGUAUAGCAAUGUGACUACGGUUAAGAAUAAUAUACUGUAGUAUUUUUUUAAAAUGUAGAGAGUGGAUGUUAAGUGCCCUUACCACAAAGAGUUAACUAUGUGACACAAUGCAUUUGUUAGAGUUAACCAUUCCACAGUGCCUAUAUACUUCAAAAUGCCAUGUUGUACACAGUAAUAACAUAUAAUGAUGAUAUCUGUCAAUUAAUUUCUGAAAAAAGUAAAACUAUGGAGACAAUAAAAUGAUCAGUAGUUGCCACAGGUUGGGGUAAGGGAGGGAAGAAUAGGUAGAACACAGAAAAAUUCUAAGGCAGUGAAACUACUCUGUAUGAUGUUAUAAUGGCAGGUAUUUGUCAUUACACAUUUGUCAAAACACAGAGAAUGUACAACACCAAGAGUGAACCUAAGGAAAACUACAGACUCUGGAUAUCUAGCAGCUGUCGAGGGACCAGGUCGAGGGACCUGGAAGGGGUUGCUGGCUGAUGACUGGGUGCCUGCUGAGAUGGGCUCCAUAUACAGCAAUUCUGUUCUAGGAACUCAAAGAAUAUUAAUUCAAGGCUGGGUGUGGUGGCACACACCUGUAAUCCCAGCACUUUGGGAGGCCAACGCUGGAAGACUGGUUGAGCCUUGCAGUUCAAGACCAGCCAGGGCAAUAUACUGAAACCUCAUCUCUACAAAAAAUUAAAAAAUUAGUUGAGUGUGGUGGUGCAUGUCUGUGAUCCCAGCUGGUGGUAGGACUGCUUGAGCCCGGGAGGCAGAGGUUGGAGUGAACUACGAUCGUGCCACAGCA
Molecule: long non-coding RNA, 1313 nt
Filed under: Homo sapiens (human)
Lineage: Eukaryota; Metazoa; Chordata; Mammalia; Primates; Hominidae
Description: HSALNT0356240
Source: RNAcentral